Molecule: ribosomal RNA, 355 nt
Filed under: uncultured bacterium
Lineage: Bacteria
Description: bacterial SSU rRNA
Rfam family: Bacterial small subunit ribosomal RNA
Source: RNAcentral
AGAGUUUGAUCCUGGCUCAGGAUGAACGCUAGCUACAGGCUUAACACAUGCAAGUCGAGGGGAAACGACAUCGAAAGCUUGCUUUUGAUGGGCGUCGACCGGCGCACGGGUGAGUAACGCGUACCCAACCUGCCCAUCACUUGGGGAUAACCUUGCGAAAGUAAGACUAAUACCCAAUGAUAUCUCUAGAAGGCAUCUGAAAGAGAUUAAAGAUUUAUCGGUGAUGGAUAGGGAUGCGUCUGAUUAGCUUGUUGGCGGGGUAACGGCCACCAAAGCAACGAUCAGUAGGGGUUCUGACGAGGAAGGUCCCCACAUUGGAACGUGAGACACGGUCCAAACUCCGUACGGGAGGCGA